Triplophysa dalaica is the source of this 234-nucleotide long non-coding RNA. RefSeq lists it as uncharacterized. The transcript has 3 exons. The record is from RefSeq and is a predicted model, not a curated record. NCBI's taxonomy places the organism in Eukaryota, Metazoa, Chordata, Actinopteri, Cypriniformes, Nemacheilidae.
AAGUGAAAAGGAGAAGAAGAUCCUUGUGAAAAAGGAAGGUGGUGACCAGUUUGUCAUUAAAAAGUUGAGCGCUAAACAGGAUGAAUUAAACGUUCUUCUCCAGCUAAGUCAUCCACACAUCAUCCAUCAUAAUGAAAUCAUAAGAGAUCCUGACUGUUCAUAUCUUGUUCUGGAGCACUGUGAAAGUGGAGAUCUCUCUCAGAAAAUCAAAAACAAAAAGGAGGGAACAGUUGA